Molecule: ribosomal RNA, 253 nt
Filed under: uncultured bacterium
Lineage: Bacteria
Description: partial 16S ribosomal RNA
Rfam family: Bacterial small subunit ribosomal RNA
Source: RNAcentral
UACAGAGGGUGCAAGCGUUAAUCGGAGUUACUGGGCGUAAAGGGCGCGUAGGCGGUUAUUUAAGUUGGAUGUGAAAACCCUGGGCUUAACCUAGGACUGGCAUUCAAAACUGGGUGACUGGAGUAUUGUAGAGGGUAGUGGAAUUUCCGGUGUAGCGGUGAAAUGCGUAGAGAUCGGAAGGAACACCAGUGGCGAAGGCGGCAGCCUGGACCGAUACUGACGCUGAGGUGCGAAAGCGUGGGGAGCAAACAGG